Daucus carota subsp. sativus is the source of this 1958-nucleotide long non-coding RNA. RefSeq lists it as uncharacterized. The record is from RefSeq and is a predicted model, not a curated record. NCBI's taxonomy places the organism in Eukaryota, Viridiplantae, Streptophyta, Magnoliopsida, Apiales, Apiaceae. The transcript is spliced from 8 exons.
CCUUUUUUCACUCACUUCAUUCACAACACUGUCUCUUUUACUCCUGUAUCUCUCCAUUCACAGCUCUCUCCCUCACUGCCGCUCUCGUGCUCUCUCAGCUCUGCCUCGUGCUCCAUCCUCAGCGCUGUCUUCUCUCUAUCGUGCUUAAUAGGGAUUCUUCAUAUCGGGGUUGGAUUCAAGGAUUUGUGUGCAGGAAGCCGGUGUUUAAACUUAAGUGAGAAAGAGUUAACAACACUUUGGUGGAUUUGGGAAUAUCUUUAGUGUAAACUUAGUGGAGAUUUCGGUGCUUCAAAUUCAGAUUUUCUAUUGAUGCUCUUUAUGAGUAUAGAUUUCUGACAUAUUUAAAUCAUGGAGAAUAUUGAAGGAUAUGGAGAUGGAAUGUAUUGAUCGUAUCACCGAGAAUAAUUUUGUAGAAUUGAUUAUAUGAAUACUUGCAGCCCUGGAGAUUGAUAAAUUUUAUGAUGGUGAUGAUGCUAUCUUGCAUCCAAUUGAAAGUCUACCACCUUUCUGCUUCUCGGUUUCUUGAUUCCUUAUGGAUUUCCAAGUCUUCGGCUUCUUUUCAAGUGCUUCCUCGAUUUGGGUUUUCGAUUUGGAGCUUGUUCAGUGAAUUAUGGCUUCGAUUUGUGGCUAUAUUAUUAUGUAAGUUAGAGAUUUGGAUUUGGGGCUUGUUGAUACUCACUAAUUAUGAUAGGAGAAUCCUCUUAUAAGGAUAUAUGCCUAUGCAAAGAAUCUUAUACUUGGUUUCAAGUCCGUGACCCUGCAUGACAAAGGCAAUGGUGAAUUGUUGGAUUUGUCUAGCAACUUUAUAUUCACAUAGAAUGAUGUUGGUAAGAGUAGGGCACUUGUUUAUGUUCAACAGCAAGCUGCAAGAGCUUAACAAUGCUGUCGUUGUUACCAGUUUGACCUUUAAAUUUACUAAGGAGCAACUCUCUGGCUUUGAGGUAGCUCCAUUCUGUUAAAACCUGGCUCUGAUACCAAUUGUUAUUUUACACCAACUAUGAGAAAGAUUGUAGAAGGGGGGGUUGAAUACAAUCUUUUAAAAAUUAAAAGAUUCAAGAACAAGAACACUUAAAACAAUAAAACAGAAAAACACCAAGUAUUAAAAAUACGGGUGGAUUGAAUGAUCCACUUGUGAGAUUUUAUAUUGAAGAAUCUGUGGAUUGAUUACAAUUCGCACAGGUACAGGUUCAUCACUUGAAUAGUUUCUAACUCUCAGAUUUUCUCUCAAGUAUUCGAACACAUUCAACUGAUGCUACUAACUUGGUUAUAUACUCCAAGUUUUACAAAGCUUUUAACUAGAAUACAAAUUAUGCACUCUAAUCUAAGCUAUGCUGCACAUCUUUGUCUUAUGCAUGCUUUCUGUGUUGUCUUCAUCUUUGACCAUAAUCUUGAUAUGAUCCAUAUUGCAUUGCAUGAGAUAAGAAUGUUUCUGGUUCUUCUUUAUUGUCCUAAUCAGGCUUCCAUGUCUAUUUUAGUGUAAUUCGAUCCAUGUGAUUUGUCAGAUUUAAACUCUAGUCAUUUUCAACUGCUAUUUGCUUCAUCAAUUGAAUGUACCUUCAUCAGUUGAACGAAUUACAGACUUCAUCAGUUGAAUGUUGUUCCAGUCUCAUCAGUUGAAUUCCUUAGCUUCAUCAGUUGAACACUUUGUCUUUAGUUGAAUGCUUAGUUUUCAUCAGUUGAAACAUGAUCCGGUCUUCAUCAGUUGAAUAUUUACAUCUCAUCAGUUGAAUAUCCUUCACUUAGAUAAAAUUACAUGGCAUUGAAUAUUUACAAUUAGCCAUCCUAUUCUACCCAUCCGUUGAUACUUCUCAAGGACAAGAAAUAUAACAAUUACAACUGAAAUUUUGAUAAAGAUUCUAAAUAAAACAUGUUACAGAGUGUUUAUGUUAUCAUCAAAAUUAUUGAUUCUUAACAUCCUAACUUUUCUUAUCCAGUUGGCUUUAAAAGUCAUUCCUAUU